Medicago truncatula (barrel medic) is the source of this 741-nucleotide long non-coding RNA. RefSeq lists it as uncharacterized. Lineage: Eukaryota; Viridiplantae; Streptophyta; Magnoliopsida; Fabales; Fabaceae. The record is from RefSeq and is a predicted model, not a curated record. The transcript is spliced from 3 exons.
AAGACAGAGGUACCUUCUAAAGACUCUAGGUUACCAUCCAUUGAUAAGAAUGUCUAGAUAUAUUUAAGAUUUUGUCAUGUCUAAGUUAAUUCAUUUAUAGGAAGCAUUUUGGCAUUGGUUAAUUUAUCAAGAAUUGCACUAUUCCCCUUUCGUUAAUCACCAUCACCCUCUUGUGAACUUAAAUCUUGACUUCCACUCGUUCCCCUUUCAUAUUUCUCUAGGAAAUCUAAUUCAUCAAACAUGGGUUAAUAAGUUCCUUUUCAAGCUCUUUAACAACAAUGGUUCUUCUAAGUUUAGAAUUACCUUGGGUGAAUCUAUGGUCUCUCUCUCUCUCUCUCUCUAUCUAUCUAUCUAUCUAUCUCUCUCUUGUAGGAAUUUAAUGUUUAUGCAAAAGAUGUUUGGAUGCUAUGAGAAAUGCACCUGGUUCUUUGUAUGAUUACUAUCUCCAUUAUGGACAAGAUGAAUAAGUACACGUUUCGUCAAGAAGUUACACUAACCGGAGGAUCAUCGGUGUGGAAGAUUGCUUCUAUUGGUGCAAAUGAUUUUUUUAAAAGCUGAAGCAUUUUGAGGGAGGUUACUCCGAGUGCUUUGAUAUUUAUUAGAAUGGUGUGGACCAUGGCUGAGUCAAGAUACAUGGCUUUCCUUUCAGUAGGCAUACAACUCUUGGUUUAUAAGUUUCGUCAAAAAAUUUGUAUCUGUAAUCUGUAUUUAUUGUUUUCUGAUAUUUGAAACUAAAUCUAU